GUAGAAGGUGCCCUUUAUAUUGCAGGUAGAAUUGAAGAGCCGUCCAAAUUUGGCCUCAGGAAACACCAUGAGGUAGAAUUGAAGAGCCGUCCAAAUUUGGCCUCAGGAAACACCAUGAGGUAGAAUUGAAGAGCCGUCCAAAUUUGGCCUCAGGAAACACCAUGAGGUUAGUCCUAACUGUUCUAGCAUUG
Long non-coding RNA from Ornithodoros turicata, 191 nucleotides. RefSeq lists it as uncharacterized. The record is from RefSeq and is a predicted model, not a curated record. The transcript has 3 exons. NCBI's taxonomy places the organism in Eukaryota, Metazoa, Arthropoda, Arachnida, Ixodida, Argasidae.